This is a non-coding RNA of Meleagris gallopavo (turkey), 768 nucleotides long. The record is from RefSeq and is a predicted model, not a curated record. Lineage: Eukaryota; Metazoa; Chordata; Aves; Galliformes; Phasianidae.
AAGCGUCCCCUCCCCUUGUCUGUAAAGCUGAGGACAUCCCUCCCGAAAUGGAGGAGCUCUGUCAUAGAGUUAUUAAACCGCUAAGAUCCCGAAGUCCAACCCCAACCCACCCCACCACCGUGCCCGCAUCCCUCAGUGCCACAUCCCCAAGGUUAUGGAACAGCCACCGCUCUGACCCUACCCAUCCCUUCAGACAUCCAUUUUCAUAUCAACCCAGGGCAAUGUGCUGCACUCAGAAAGGCUGUGCACAAAGCUUGGUGAGGCCUUUGAUGGACAGCCACUGCCUUCAGAGGACGUGAGUAAUAGGGAACUCUAAACUAAGCCCUGGGAGACACAUUGGAGACAGCCACCCCAGUGAGCACAGCUGGAAUGCACCCCAUGGCCCCAUCACCUGAACUGCAACCCUGCAGCCUUGCACAGGUUUAUCCUGUUCAGAAUCACUUUCAAGAGGAAUCCCCAAUCGCAUUCUCUCCUUCACCCUGCCUCUGCUCCAGCUCUGCUUAAAUGUCUAUUAAUUUCUCAGAGCUCAUGUUACAGCUGUACGGGAUGCACUGCUUUUAUCAUGACUCAGCAGUGGUAUUGGAUCAAUACUAUUUCUUGCACCUGGUACCACUGGUCUUCACAAGGAGCAAAUAAUUUUUUUUAUCAGAAGAAGCAGCUACAUGAGAUUCUUGCUUUGCUUGGGCAUUGAAAACAAACUUUCCAUGUCCUGAGAUUUGGAGUCAAGUUUACUCAGACUCCACACAAGUGAAAAAAAAAAGCCCCCCC